Long non-coding RNA from Callithrix jacchus (white-tufted-ear marmoset), 2020 nucleotides. The record is from Ensembl. NCBI's taxonomy places the organism in Eukaryota, Metazoa, Chordata, Mammalia, Primates, Cebidae.
ACAAAGCGGUAGCAGCAAGUAGAAAGGCCAUGCACAGGGAACCUUACCACAUGUUCAGGAAGCAGCUAGGAUGUCAGCUUUGUGGCCGGCAAGGAGUGAGUUAAAGAGGAGUCCUAUAGAGGUCAGAGAGCAAACGCGCGAUCACGUGAUCCCAAGGAAGCUAGAAAACCAGUGAGGAAUUCAGAGUAGCCCAGGGAGAAGCUCUGAUUUCCUGCUGAAAAGGGUUACUCUGGCAUCUGGGCGGAAAAAAGGAAGAAAGAGGAGACCAAGCAGGAGGAGGCUGCUAUCAUCCGAUGUGCUGUAAUAGGGAUCUACUGCACCAGUCCGUGGCUUAGGAACUGGGCCACACAGCAGGAGAGAGACUUCUAUACUGUGGGUUAAGGAAGGAAACCAGGCCCUGAGCUUCAGUAGUUCUACCAGUGCUUCUCAAGUGUCAGCUUUUCCUCAUCCUCUAGCCGCCCUCCCAGAGGAUCCUGGGAGGCGAGGCAGGAACGGCCUGCUUGGGGAGCCAGCGAGUUUGCAGGGCCUUUUCUGCUGCUUCCUGUACCCCGGUAUUUCACUCGGCUCUCUAAAUGGACUCAGCUCCAGAUAUAGGCACGCUUCAGAGAUUGCAGAGUUAAUUGCAGACCACUGCAAUAAAGUAAGUAUCACCAUCAACCAAAUCACACAAAUUUUUGGGUUUCUUAGAAAAUAUAAAAGUUAUAUUUAUACUAUACUGUAGUUCAUGAAGUGUGCUAUAACAUUGUGUCUUUAAAACAAAAAAAUAAUUUAAAAAUGCUUCCUUGCUAAAAAAAUGCUAACAAUCAUCUUAGCUUUUGGCGAGAUGAAUCUUUUUCUGGUGGAAGGCUUUGCCUUGAUGUUAAUGACUGAACAAUGGUAAGGGUCGUGGUGGUGGCUGAAGGUUGGAGAGCAUGUGGCAAUUUCUUAAAAUAAGACUGUAAGGUCUAUUACCGAGUUAAAAUGAGGAAACUGAGGCCAGUGUGAGAAAAUGAAAAGCCAAUUUAUUCAGCUCCGAGGCAAAGUUCUCUGGUCUGCGAAAGGGCCAGAGAAGUCGCCCUUGACUUCUCAGGGCGUGGGGUUUUAUGGGGAGUGGAGGCGAUUGAUUGGUUAUUGGGGAAACAAAGCAUAGGCGAUUUAAUUGGUUAUAGGGAGACAGGGCGUGGCUGUGGUGAGCUGCCAUUGGUAGGUAGGUGGGACUACUGGUGGGUGGGCUGGCUGGGGAUGUGAUUGGUUAUUGGGGAAACAAAGCAUAGGCGAUUUCAUUGGUUAUAGGGAGACAGGGCAUCUAUGUGGUGAGUUGCCAUUGGUAGGUGGGCAGGACUACUGGUAGGUGGGCUGGCUAGGGAAGUGAUUGGUUACUGGGGAAACAAAGCGUAGCAAGUUUUGGCGAGGUGUUUUUGGCCUUGGGCUGGGGGGUUGAGCGCUUAGUUUGGUGCUGAAUGUAGAUCUGGGUGCAAUAGCAGAGGUAAGUGUGGAGAAUUCACGUGGAGAAGCCAGAUGCUGAGUAAUGUGCUCAGAAUAAUAACGCAGUUAUCAUGCACAAGCGGGGAUGGGCGUGUCCGUCUAACUCCGGGUGAGGCAACUGGCCUUACAAAGACAACAACGGAAUUUGCAGUACUCAUUCAUUCAUUCUUUUCCAUGAAAGAUUUUUCUGUAGCAUGAGACGCUGUUUGGUAGCAUUUUACCCACAGUAGAACUUCAUUCAAAAUCGGAGUCAUUCUUCUCGAACCCUGCUGCUACUCUGUAAACUAAAUCUAUGUAGCAUUCCAUAUCCGUGGUUGUCGUUUCAAUAAUGUUUACAGCAUCUUCACCAGGAGUAGAUUCCAGCACUAGAAACCACUUUCUUUGCUCACCUGUAAGAAGCAACUCUGCAUUCAUUCAAGUUUUAGAGUUUUAUCUUUAAUGUCUUAAUCAAACAUCUCUUCUUUAAUGAAAAUUACUGUUUUUUUGUUUGUUUGUGUUUGUUUUGCAUGAAGGCACUAGGUGUAAAUCACUCAUUUAUUUGAAUGGAAAAGAAAGG